UCGGGAAUUUUGGGCAAUGGGCGAAAGCCUGACCCAGCAACGCCGCGUGAAGGAUGAAGUAUUUCGGUAUGUAAACUUCGAAAGAAUGGGAAGAAUAAAUGACGGUACCAUUUAUAAGCUCCGGCUAACUACGUGCCAGCAGCCGCGGUAAUACGUAGGGAGCAAGCGUUGUUCGGAUUUACUGGGCGUAAAGGGCGCGUAGGCGGCGCGGUAAGUCACUUGUGAAAUCUCUGAGCUUAACUCAGAACGGCCAAGUGAUACUGCAGUGCUAGAGUGUAGAAGGGGCAAUCGGAAUUCUUGGUGUAGCGGUGAAAUGCGUAGAUAUCAAGAGGAACACCUGAGGUGAAGACGGGUUGCUGGUCUAACACUGACGCUGAGGCGCGAAAGCCAGGGGAGCAAACG
RNAcentral lists this ribosomal RNA (402 nucleotides) under uncultured bacterium. Its description in RNAcentral is "bacterial SSU rRNA". It matches the Rfam family "Bacterial small subunit ribosomal RNA", at positions 355 to 774 of the family's 1533-position model. The record is from RNAcentral.